This 449-nucleotide ribosomal RNA is filed under the name uncultured organism. Its description in RNAcentral is "partial 16S ribosomal RNA". It matches the Rfam family "Bacterial small subunit ribosomal RNA", at positions 335 to 800 of the family's 1533-position model. The record is from RNAcentral.
ACUCCUACGGGAGGCAGCAGUGGGGAAUAUUGGACAAUGGGCGCAAGCCUGAUCCAGCCAUGCCGCGUGAGUGAUGAAGGCCCUAGGGUUGUAAAGCUCUUUCACCGGUGAAGAUAAUGACGGUAACCGGAGAAGAAGCCCCGGCUAACUUCGUGCCAGCAGCCGCGGUAAUACGAAGGGGGCUAGCGUUGUUCGGAUUUACUGGGCGUAAAGCGCACGUAGGCGGACUAUUAAGUCAGGGGUGAAAUCCCGGGGCUCAACCCCGGAACUGCCUUUGAUACUGGUAGUCUUGAGUUCGAGGGAGGUGAGUGGAAUUCCGAGUGUAGAGGUGAAAUUCGUAGAUAUUCGGAGGAACACCAGUGGCGAAGGCGGCUCACUGGCUCGAUACUGACGCUGAGGUGCGAAAGCGUGGGGAGCAAACAGGAUUAGAUACCCGAGUAGUCCCAUGA